GUGACUUUUAAGCAAACAGUUUCAUUGGAGUUAUAAGGACAGAAUUGACAUCACAAAGUACUGAGUGGUCACAAAGUAGAACCAUUGGACACAGGCAACUUUUUAGAAAAUUUAUCAGGAAAGGGAAGAAGAGAGAUCUGACAUUGACUGGAUAUAUUAUAAUAGCUAAGAAAUGUUUCUUAGUACAGUGAAACACAGAUUAUAUUUAUUAAUGGAUGGGAAAGAGGUGCCUCUCAUCACCUACCCCUCUGCCUAGCAGCCCAAUGGGAGUGCUUCCUCUCUCCUCUGACUGGGGGGAGAACUAAGAGAAGAUAAUGACUUGUCCUUGGAGACACAGGAAAUGAGUGACAGACAAUCAGCUUCCUUCUUGGUGUUUGGAUCAGACCCAAGGGAUGAAAUCAAUGGUGUCUUAAGAAGGAAAUCCACUGAAAGGCAAAGUCUCAGUCUUAAUGAAGAAAGGGUAGGGAGAGGAGGAGGAGGAAGAAGAAGUCAAUGUUUGCUUAUUUGAAGAGAACCAUACCAACUGAAAUCA
Molecule: long non-coding RNA, 532 nt
Filed under: Monodelphis domestica (gray short-tailed opossum)
Lineage: Eukaryota; Metazoa; Chordata; Mammalia; Didelphimorphia; Didelphidae
Description: lncRNA (ENSMODG00000050545.1)
Source: RNAcentral